Non-coding RNA from Macaca mulatta (Rhesus monkey), 941 nucleotides. NCBI's taxonomy places the organism in Eukaryota, Metazoa, Chordata, Mammalia, Primates, Cercopithecidae. The record is from RefSeq and is a predicted model, not a curated record.
GGGAGGUGAUUGAAUCAUGGGGGUGGUGUUUCUCAUGCUGUUCUUCUGAGAGGGAAUAAAUCACUCUUAUAAAGGGGUGAUUUAUUUUAUAAUAAAUUACAUUUUUAUAUUUUUUAUAGUAUUUUAUAAAGGGGAGUCCCCCUACACAAGCUCUCUUGCCUGCUGCCAUGUAAGACCUGACUAUGCUCCUCAUUCGUCUUCAGCCAUGACUGUGAGGCCUCCCCAUCUAUGUGGAACUUCUCACACCAGUUAAGAUAAAGCCAAAUGUUUACAUCCAAAGAAUUGAUGGAAGGUGCUCAGCUAUGAGCUAAGAAGGGAUCACCAGAAGAUCAUUUGGCUGCACGCUUUUCUGACUCCUGGUAGGAGGGAGUACCAGGAGUACUGCUUUUUGGGCUCUCACCAAGUCCUGGAGUUCUCUCAGUUGUUUUCCUGUCAGUCCCCCAAUGCCCAGAUCCUCCUCGUCCUCUUCUGGCUGAGCACUGACAUUACCAGAAGAUGGACCCUGUUUGAUAAAGAAUUCUUCAUGCUGGUCCAAGAGGAGUCCGUGGAGCAUCCAGGCUGACAGUUGUUUAUACAUGACCCCAUGACAAACGGCCAGGAUUCUGGGCAGAGCGGAAAGUAAGAGGCUUAGAAGUCAUGCUUUAAACUGUUACACGAUAAACAGAGGUCUGAGAGUUUGAUGAGUCAUAAGGGAAAUAACCAAUUAAGUUAAAAAUAAUUGUGCUAUUUUAAUUUAAAUGUGGGUGAACUAACUCACUGAAUUUCCAUAUUUGCAGCCUACAUAAUGAAAUCUAAAAUGUUCAGUAUAUGUGCUGAUAUUAUUUUAGGGAAGACAUUUUCUUUCCUUCUUUUAUGUAAUUUUCAAAACUGAUGGAUCCUAAAUAUGUACAACCGUUUGAUAGCAAUAAAAAAUAAAAAUAAUAAAAAAUUUUAAAAAUGGA